Molecule: long non-coding RNA, 2218 nt
Organism: Lolium perenne
Lineage: Eukaryota; Viridiplantae; Streptophyta; Magnoliopsida; Poales; Poaceae
Source: RefSeq, a predicted model, not a curated record
UGACUGAACGAAUGCGCACGUCACCCCACGCGUUGUCUUCCAGUUCACCUCCUCCUCCCGCACAGCCAAAAGGAAAAGAAAAUCCGCCCAGAUUGAUUCCUUGCCUCGCCGUCGACGCGCCGCCCGGCUCCCGUCCCCCAUCCCGCUCCCUCAACAUCACGCGCGUUGCGCCGCCGAUGCCGUCUUCCCCGUUUCCCCUUGUCUCCUGGCCCAUCCCUAUACGCGGCGCCUCCCAUCUGCGCUCGUGCUCGUGCUGGUUACCUCCUCCACCAAUACAAACAUGCAGGCCCUCCAAUUUAUACUACUGCCGCACUUCGAUUACCUCAACUUUUCUCAUCUUUCUCCUGCCUCAAGUCCGGCACCAGGAGCCAUCGGACCGGACGAUUGAAUACUACCUCCUUGCCGCGCCCGGGCUUCACGGUGGCGGCGUGUACGUGUUCCUGCAGCACGCACGCCGCCUACAAGUCCAACUUCUGCACGCUAAAUCGGAGCUAUCGGGCCUGGAAAGCAAGAAACGAGCACCAACACCACCUGCGUCCAAAAGGUUUAUAUCUCAAGUCAAUCCAGCAUUUCAUACCGAGUUCCUAUAGGAUACGUUGGGUUAGGAGACUAGGAGGUGCUCUGUUAAUAACCAACACUACAGGUUACUAUCUAAAGCUGCCUUUGAUCACCCUAUCUGAGCCAAUAUACAGCAUAUCAAGUUUUCAACACCAUUGAUGAGCUUCAGAAUCCACAUUUCUUUGGACAUGCGAUACAGUUAAUAGUAACAAUAUCAUAUACCUUCACCCAUCUUAAUAGCUGCUUUGAGAACCAUUGAAUCUGUUGUUUCUACUUCCCUUUGGUAUUUGUAAUAAUUCCAGCUUUGUUUUGCGCAUAGCACUUUUGAUAUGUUUGCUCCAGUUACAGUGUUGUCAAAUGUUCAAAGCGCAUACCAAUAGCUAUAAAAAUUUUUUGUUUCUGCAACCUCAACUAAAAUUUUGUUUUGUCCAAACUGGGUCGCAUUAGUUGGAAAAUAGCUCUAGAUUAGGCACAUGUUUCCAUACUGAUAUUUUUGUUCAGUUGGAGAUGAAUGUAGAGUAAUGGACAACAACAGUACAAGGAAAAGCUCAUAAUUCUCAGCUCACUAGAUCUUUUGUACCAAGAGCUCUUAUCCUCUCAUAGACAUGUAACUUGGGUUUUCAUGGAUUCCACUAUUUUUGUAUAUUCUGCAGUUAGUUGUGUCGUCAUAGUCAUUCGCCUCCUUGCAGUCCUCAUUACUCUAGGUCUAGAUCAGUUUCUCUCCCACAGAUAAUUAUCUUCAAUAAUCUUGUAAGCUUGAACUGAUUCUGAAUUUCCUUGCUAUUUGACUGGGUAUUCGCUUUCAUGCUAACAGCCUAAGAUUUCCAUUUCUAAAAUCCUCUCUUCUAAUGAUCCUGACAUUCUAUGGUAGUCACUGAACACUACUGUCUAUGUUCUAAGAUUUCUCAAGACGAUUCAGUUAUUGUUGAAGAUUUCUCCAUUGUUUUGGGCGUGCAUUAGUUGUCCAAGAAAAAAGCUCUAGAUUUGUUACAUGUUCCCAUAUUGACAUUUUUGUUACAUGUUUCCAUUUGUCAUGCAGCCAACGGUUUGAAGUGAGUGCAUCGGAAUGAUAUCCUUCUUAGCGUCGGCAGACACGUGUAGGUCGAGGGCUGAAAGAUAUGCUGGAACCGUGGCCUACAUGGCGACUCUUGGGCAUCCCUACGAGCCGGAUUCCCUGUCCAUGAAACAAACAUUUCAUGCUUUGAUGAUGACCGACUUCAUGGGGGAAAUAUCGCGUAUGCGGCUGGAGUAUGCUUGCUGCGCUGCUACUAUCCGCCAAAAGAGAAGAAGAUGAUGGAACAGUUAACCACCACUUCGCAUGAUCCCAACCGAGGAGAAUGAGCGCUCAAUGGUGUGACAAUACACGCUAGAGAAGUUAUAGUGGCAGUGAGAAGUGUUUGGUCGAAAUGAUAAUCUAUGUCUUGCGAGCUGAUCAUCUAUCUGUUGUAAGCUCAGUGCUCAGAAUCAGCAAUUGUUUUUAGUCAUCAUGUAUGGAUGUCUUAUCACGUCUCCUACCUAUGGUUGGAGCAUGAGAAUCGGAAUAUUUUUUUUGUUUGUGUGAAUCGAUGAAUUAUAGAAACUGACACAGUAUUAUAGUCCUAAAAUCAUACUGAAAAUUGUCUAUCUACAAUAAUUAUGGGCAUCCUUUUAUAAAUUAGUA